UAGUGCUCGAGCAGAGCAAGGUGCCGUUAUGAGAUACUUACAUCAUGGAAAGACGUUGCACAAUUGGAUUGAAGCAAGUGAUUGUUCAAAUAAACUGAGACAAUGACAGAGGCACAUAUUAAAUAGCAGCUCCUCCGACAUCAUGAGCUCCUACUACGUGCACCAGCUCGAUGCGUCUCGCGAUGUCUCUACGUUCCGAACACGAAAAUGCCUGAUUCAAUCGGAUAGAAAACGAUUGAACGCUUGAGGAAGUGCCUUGAUAUUUUUACAGCCAAGACAAAGUGAUUGCCAUAAAUAAUCCUGAAUAAUCAUAUAACAACAUUAAUUUUGUAAAAGAGACGUAAUAGCACGACGAAUAAACGGCCGAGUACAGCAAGGGCGGUUCUAGAUCUGUGAAUUUUAUUCAAAAUAGUAUUUAACAAGAAAGAGUUCAAUAGUAAUCAGAG
Phymastichus coffea is the source of this 446-nucleotide long non-coding RNA. RefSeq lists it as uncharacterized. NCBI's taxonomy places the organism in Eukaryota, Metazoa, Arthropoda, Insecta, Hymenoptera, Eulophidae. The transcript has 4 exons. The record is from RefSeq and is a predicted model, not a curated record.